Molecule: ribosomal RNA, 474 nt
Filed under: uncultured organism
Description: partial 16S ribosomal RNA
Rfam family: Bacterial small subunit ribosomal RNA
Source: RNAcentral
CACUCCUGCGGGAGGCAGCAGUGGGGAAUAUUGCACAAUGGGCGCAAGCCUGAUGCAGCCAUGCCGCGUGUAUGAAGAAGGCCUUCGGGUUGUAAAGUACUUUCAGCGGGGAGGAAGGCGAUAAGGUUAAUAACCUUGUCGAUUGACGUUACCCGCAGAAGAAGCACCGGCUAACUCCGUGCCAGCAGCCGCGGUAAUACGGAGGGUGCAAGCGUUAAUCGGAAUUACUGGGCGUAAAGCGCACGCAGGCGGUCUGUCAAGUCGGAUGUGAAAUCCCCGGGCUCAACCUGGGAACUGCAUUCGAAACUGGCAGGCUAGAGUCUUGUAGAGGGGGGUAGAAUUCCAGGUGUAGCGGUGAAAUGCGUAGAGAUCUGGAGGAAUACCGGUGGCGAAGGCGGCCCCCUGGACAAAGACUGACGCUCAGGUGCGAAAGCGUGGGGAGCAAACAGGAUUAGAAACCCUUGUAGUCCCAUG